Trichosurus vulpecula (common brushtail) is the source of this 102-nucleotide small nuclear RNA. The record is from RefSeq and is a predicted model, not a curated record. NCBI's taxonomy places the organism in Eukaryota, Metazoa, Chordata, Mammalia, Diprotodontia, Phalangeridae.
GUGCUUGCUUUGGCAGCACAUAUACUAAAAUUGUAACAAUCAAAAGAUUAACAUGGCCCCUGCACAAGGAUGCCUCAAAUUUGUGAAAUUUUAAUUAAAAAA